UAGUCCGUACGAGCGCACCCUUGUCCCUAGUUGCCAGCACUUCGGGUGGGAACUCUAGGGAGACUGCCGGUGAUAAACCGGAGGAAGGUGGGGAUGACGUCAAGUCAUCAUGGCCCUUAUGGGGAGGGCUACACACGUGCUACAAUGGCCGGUACAGAGGGCAGCGAAGCCGCGAGGUGGAGCGAAUCUCAGAAAACCGAUCGUAGUCCGGAUUGCAGUCUGCAACUCGACUGCAUGAAGCCGGAAUCGCUAGUAAUCGCGGAUCAGAACGCCGCGGUGAAUACGUUCCCGGGCCUUGUACACACCGCCCGUCACACCAUGGGAGUGGGCUGUACCAGAAGUAGGUAGUCUAACCUUCGGGAGGGCGCCUACCACGGUGUGGUUCAUGACUGGGGUGAAGUCGUAACAAGGUAGCCCUAGGGGAACCUGGGGCUGGAUCACCUCCUUU
This 448-nucleotide ribosomal RNA is filed under the name uncultured Chromatiales bacterium. RNAcentral's name for it is "bacterial SSU rRNA". It matches the Rfam family "Bacterial small subunit ribosomal RNA", at positions 1082 to 1533 of the family's 1533-position model. The record is from RNAcentral. Lineage: Bacteria; Pseudomonadati; Pseudomonadota; Gammaproteobacteria; Chromatiales.